AGCGAACGCUGGCGGCAGGCCUAAUACAUGCAAGUCGAGCGCACCUUCGGGUGAGCGGCGGACGGGUGAGUAACGCGUGGGAACGUGCCCUUUGCUACGGAACAACUGAGGGAAACUUCAGCUAAUACCGUAUGUGCCCUUCGGGGGAAAGAUUUAUCGGCAUUGGAGCGGCCCGCGUUGGAUUAGGUAGUUGGUGAGGUAAAGGCUCACCAAGCCUACGAUCCAUAGCUGGUCUGAGAGGAUGAUCAGCCACACUGGGACUGAGACACGGCCCAGACUCCUACGGGAGGCAGCAGUAGGGAAUCUUGCGCAAUGGGCGAAAGCCUGACGCAGCCAUGCCGCGUGAAUGAUGAAGGUCUUAGGAUUGUAAAAUUCUUUCACCGGGGAAGAUAAUGACGGUACCCGGAGAAGAAGCCCCGGCUAACUUCGUGCCAGCCGCC
This 440-nucleotide ribosomal RNA is filed under the name uncultured bacterium. Its description in RNAcentral is "bacterial SSU rRNA". It matches the Rfam family "Bacterial small subunit ribosomal RNA", at positions 29 to 516 of the family's 1533-position model. The record is from RNAcentral.